This 532-nucleotide ribosomal RNA is filed under the name Zelus sp. 00001212. Its description in RNAcentral is "partial 16S ribosomal RNA". It matches the Rfam family "Bacterial large subunit ribosomal RNA", at positions 1809 to 2612 of the family's 2925-position model. The record is from RNAcentral. Lineage: Eukaryota; Metazoa; Arthropoda; Insecta; Hemiptera; Reduviidae.
AAAAACAUGUUCUUUUGUUUAUAAAUAAAAGGUCUAACCUGCCCAAUGAUUUAAUUUAAUGGCCGCGGUAUAUUAACUGUGCUAAGGUAGCAUAAUCAUUUGUCUUUUAAUUAAAGGCUAGAAUGAACGGUUGGACGAGGUAUUUUCUUUCUUUAGUUUAGUUUAUGAAUUUAAUUUUUUAGUUAAAAAGCUAAAAUUUAUUUGGGGGACGAGAAGACCCUAUAGAUCUUUAUAUUUUUUAUUAUUAUAUAUUUUAGUAUAUUAAUUGUUUUAAUAAUAUAUUUUAUUUGAUUGGGGUGAUUGUAGAAUUUAAAUUAACUUCUAUUUUUAUUAUUCAUUAAUUAAUGUUUUUUUGAUCCAAUUUUAUUGAUUUAAAGAUUAAGUUACCUUAGGGAUAACAGCGUAAUUCUUUCGGAGAGCUCAUAUCGAUGAAGGAGUUUGCGACCUCGAUGUUGGAUUAAAAUAAGUUUUAGGUGUAGAAGCUUAAAAACUAGGUCUGUUCGACCUUUAAUUUUUUACAUGAUCUGAGUUC